AACGAACGCUGGCGGCAUGCCUAACACAUGCAAGUCGAACGAGACCUUCGGGUCUAGUGGCGCACGGGUGCGUAACGCGUGGGAACCUGCCCUUAGGUUCGGAAUAACUCCCCGAAAGGGGUGCUAAUACCGGAUAAUGUCUUCGGACCAAAGAUUUAUCGCCUUUGGAUGGGCCCGCGUUGGAUUAGCUAGUUGGUAGGGUAAAAGCCUACCAAGGCGACGAUCCAUAGCUGGUCUGAGAGGAUGAUCAGCCACACUGGGACUGAGACACGGCCCAGACUCCUACGCGAGGCAGCAGUGGGGAAUAUUGGACAUUGGGCGAAAGCCUUAGCCAGCAUUGCCUCGUGAGAAAUGAAUGCCUUAGGGUUGUAAAGCUCUUUUACCCGGGAUCAUAAUGAGAGUACCGGGAGAAUAAGCUCCGGCUAACUCCGUG
This 433-nucleotide ribosomal RNA is filed under the name uncultured bacterium. RNAcentral describes it as "partial 16S ribosomal RNA". It matches the Rfam family "Bacterial small subunit ribosomal RNA", at positions 29 to 507 of the family's 1533-position model. The record is from RNAcentral.